ACACAUGCAAGUCGAGCGGAAGCGCGAGGGAGCUUGCUCUCUUGGCGGCGAGUGGCGGACGGGUGAGUAAUGCUUMGGAAUCUGCCCAGUAGCGGGGGAUAGCUCCGSGAAAGACGGACUAAUACCGCAUACGCCCUUUUGGGGAAAGCGGGGGAUCUUCGGACCUUGCGCUAUUGGAUGAGCCUAAGUCGGAUUAGCUAGUUGGUGAGGUAAUGGCCCACCAAGGCGACGAUCCGUAGCUGGUCUGAGAGGAUGAUCAGCCACAUCGGGACUGAGACACGGCCCGAACUCCUACGGGAGGCAGCAGUGGGGAAUAUUGGACAAUGGGGGCAACCCUGAUCCAGCCAUGCCGCGUGUGUGAAGAAGGCUUUCGGGUUGUAAAGCACUUUCAGUGAGGAGGAAGGCCUCAAAGUUAAUACCUUUGAGGAUUGACGUCACUCACAGAAGAAGCACCGGCUAACUCCGUGCCAGCAGCCGCGGUAAUACGGAGGGUGCAAGCGUUAAUCGGAAUUACUGGGCGUAAAGCGCGCGUAGGUGGUUGAGUAAGCGAGAUGUGAAAGCCCCGGGCUCAACCUGGGAACGGCACUUCGAACUGCUCGGCUAGAGUGUGGUAGAGGGUAGUGGAAUUUCCUGUGUAGCGGUGAAAUGCGUAGAUAUAGGAAGGAACACCAGUGGCGAAAGGCGGCUACCUGGACCAACACUGACACUGAGGUGCGAAAGCGUGGGGGAGCAAACAGGAUUAGAUACCCUGGUAGUCCACGCCGUAAACGAUGUCAACUAGCCGUUGGGGGAUCUUGAAUCCUUAGUGGCGCAGCUAACGCACUAAGUUGACCGCCCUGGGGGGA
This 845-nucleotide ribosomal RNA is filed under the name Marinobacter maritimus. RNAcentral's name for it is "bacterial SSU rRNA". The record is from RNAcentral. Lineage: Bacteria; Pseudomonadati; Pseudomonadota; Gammaproteobacteria; Pseudomonadales; Marinobacteraceae.